CGAAAGCCUGACGGAGCAAGACCGCGUGGGGGAGGAAGGUUCUUGGAUUGUCAACCCCUUUUCUCAGGGAAGAAGUUCUGACGGUACCUGAGGAAUAAGCAUCGGCUAACUCCGUGCCAGCAGCCGCGGUAAUACGGAGGAUGCAAGCGUUAUCCGGAAUGAUUGGGCGUAAAGAGUCCGUAGGUGGCGAUUCAAGUCUAUUGUCAAAGAGCGAGGCUUAACUUCGCUAAGGCCGUAGAAACUGAAAAGCUAGAGAGCAGUAGGGGCAGAAGGAAUUCCUGGUGUAGCGGUGAAAUGCGUAGAGAUCAGGAAGAACACCGGUGGCGAAAGCGUUCUGCUGGGCUGCGACUGACACUGAGGGACGAAAGCUAGGGGAGCG
This 379-nucleotide ribosomal RNA is filed under the name uncultured Planktothrix sp. RNAcentral describes it as "bacterial SSU rRNA". It matches the Rfam family "Bacterial small subunit ribosomal RNA", at positions 376 to 770 of the family's 1533-position model. The record is from RNAcentral. Lineage: Bacteria; Bacillati; Cyanobacteriota; Cyanophyceae; Oscillatoriales; Microcoleaceae.